UUUUGAUUACAAAGGUUUAUUUGGUAAUUUUUCUUAAAAGAUUUGUAAUUUAUGUAAUUAAUACCUUUUGUAUUAGGGAAAAAAGAUUUUUUUUAUUUUUUUGUUCUCCCGAAUUUUAUUUGAACUAUUGGAAUUUAUUUUUUAUGUUGAAUUAUUUUUAUUUUUCAAUUGUUGUUAUAUGCUUUCGUUUUUUUCUAUCUGGUUUUUUUAUUUUUUAGGGUUUUAGCUCUUUCAUUAUUUUAGAUAAUUUUUUAUUUUAACUAUUGUUAAUAGUUCUUUUUUUGUGUUUUAAUUAAAAAAUUUUAUUUUUCUCUUUGAUUUUUUUGAAUUCUUUUUUAUAAAAUUUUUAUAUGAUUUUUUUAUUAGUAGAUUUUUUUUUAUUUUUAUUUUUUGUUGUUUUACUUUUAUUUUUUUUAUUUUAAUUGGUAAUUUGUAAAGUUAAAUGUUUAACAAAAUCAAUUCUGAAUUUUUUUUCAGUAUUCCCUGCUCGGUGAAUUUAAACAGCCAUGGUAUUUUGACUAUGCUAAGGUAGCGAAAUCAUUUGUUUUUUUAUUGAAAACUUGUAUGAAUGGGGUUUUAACUUUUCUUUUUUAUUUUAUUUUAUUUGAAUUUGUUUUUUAUUUGAGAACUUUUUAAGGAACUUUAAAAGACUAAAAGACCCUUGGAUUUUCAUUUUUAGAAAGUUUUUGUGAGUUUUUUUAUUAAAUUUUUUCUUUCUUUAUUUUUAAUUGGGGUAAUUUUGUAUUUAUAUUUAUAUUAUAUUGUUUUUUGAUCUUUUGUUUUGCUUUUUGUCUAAAUACCCAAGGGUUAACAGCGUAAUAAGUUUGGAUAGUUCAUAUAGAUAAAUUUUUUUGCGACCUCGAUGUUGGUUUGUUUUACCUUUUUGAUGCAGAAAGUAAAUUAGGAAGUCUGUUCGACUUUUAAAUAAAUAAACACAUGAACUGAGUUCAAGUCGGCGUGAGCCAGACUGGAUUUUAUCUUUAAAUUUUUAUUUUAUUUUAGUACGAGAGGACCAUUUAUUUUUCUUUUUGAUUGAUGUGGCAGAUUAUGCGAAGAGUUUAAGUCUCUUUUAAGUUUUUACCUUCAAU
RNAcentral lists this ribosomal RNA (1088 nucleotides) under Lebertia trifurcilla. RNAcentral describes it as "16S ribosomal RNA". The record is from RNAcentral. Lineage: Eukaryota; Metazoa; Arthropoda; Arachnida; Trombidiformes; Lebertiidae.